Molecule: ribosomal RNA, 203 nt
Filed under: uncultured Glomeromycotina
Lineage: Eukaryota; Fungi; Glomeromycota
Description: partial small subunit ribosomal RNA
Rfam family: Eukaryotic small subunit ribosomal RNA
Source: RNAcentral
AGCAGCCGCGGUAAUUCCAGCUCCAAUAGCGUAUAUUAAAGUUGUUGCAGUUAAAAAGCCGUAGUUGAAUUUCGGGAUCAGUACGCUGGUCAUGCCUUUGGUAUGCACUGGUGUCACUGUUUCUCCCUUCUGAAGAUCCGUGAUGUCAUUAAUUUGGUGUCGCGGGGAAUCAGGACUUUACUUUGAAAAAUUAGAGUGUUUAA